GAUGAAGAACGUAGCGAAAUGCGAUAAGUAAUGUGAAUUGCAGAAUUCAGUGAAUCAUCGAAUCUUUGAACGCACAUUGCGCCCCUUGGUAUUCCGAGGGGCAUGCCUGUUCGAGCGUCAUUAUAACUCCUCAAGCUCAGCUUGGUGUUGGGGCCUGCUGCACUGGCAGCCCUUAAAAUCAGUGGCGGCGCCAUCUGGCUCUAAGCGUAGAAAUUCUUCUCGCUAUGGAGUCCUGGUGGAUGCUUGCCAUCAACCCCCAAUUUUUCUAUGGUUGACCUCGGAUCAGGUAGGGAUACCCGCUGAACUUAAGCAUAUCAAUAAGCGGAGGA
Molecule: unclassified non-coding RNA, 329 nt
Filed under: soil metagenome
Description: partial contains 5.8S ribosomal RNA, internal transcribed spacer 2, and large subunit ribosomal RNA
Rfam family: 5.8S ribosomal RNA (bases 1-120)
Source: RNAcentral